Molecule: long non-coding RNA, 409 nt
Organism: Grammomys surdaster
Lineage: Eukaryota; Metazoa; Chordata; Mammalia; Rodentia; Muridae
Exons: 2
Source: RefSeq, a predicted model, not a curated record
UUUUGCCUUGUGGUUUUACAGAUGACUAUUAUCCAAAUAAUUAUUGACAAAUAUCAAGAGUCAUUUGAAGACCAUGACAUUCCAAUUUGUAAGGAUAAUCAAAGUAGGUCUGAUGAUGUCAAAGUGUCAUUUAAUACUGCUGCAGGGGACAGUGUAACACCUUCAAAAUACAACGUUCCACAACAGAAGCAUCCUCAUGACUGAAGGAUGUCCUGACGAUUCUAUUUCAAUGUUCCCUUCUAUCUUCUACUUUACCAUCGCAGAAGAUAUUAUUACAAGAAACAACUGCAGUUUUAUAUUGAACCAUAUUACUUGCUGCAAAUAGUUUCAUUCACUAUACUUUAUGUUGUGCAUUACAUAAACUUAUCUAUUAUAAUAAAAUUUUAUUCAAUUAUAUUAUUGCUUAAAC